GAUGAACGCUAGCUACAGGCUUAACACAUGCAAGUCGAGGGGAAACGACAUUGGAAGCUUGCUUCCGAUGGGCGUCGACCGGCGCACGGGUGAGUAACGCGUAUCCAACCUGCCCACCACUUGGAGAUAACCUUGCGAAAGUAAGACUAAUACCCAAUGACGUCUCUAGAAGACAUCUGAAAGAGAUUAAAGAUUUAUCGGUGAUGGAUGGGAUGCGUCUGAUUAGCUUGUUGGCGGGGUAACGGCCCACCAAGGCGACGAUCAGUAGGGGUUCUGAGAGGAAGGUCCCCCCACAUUGGAACUGAGACACGGUCCAAACUCCUACGGGAGGCAGCAGUGAGGAAUAUUGGUCAAUGGGCGAGAGCCUGACCAGCCAAGUAGCGUGCAGGAUGACGGCCCUAUGGGUUGUAACUGCUUUAUAAGGGAAUAAAGUGAGCCUCGUGAGGC
RNAcentral lists this ribosomal RNA (447 nucleotides) under uncultured bacterium. Its description in RNAcentral is "bacterial SSU rRNA". It matches the Rfam family "Bacterial small subunit ribosomal RNA", at positions 28 to 466 of the family's 1533-position model. The record is from RNAcentral.